This 484-nucleotide ribosomal RNA is filed under the name uncultured bacterium. Its description in RNAcentral is "partial 16S ribosomal RNA". It matches the Rfam family "Bacterial small subunit ribosomal RNA", at positions 30 to 507 of the family's 1533-position model. The record is from RNAcentral.
AUUGAACGCUGGCGGCAGGCCUAACACAUGCAAGUCGAGCGGAUGAAGCGAGCUUGCUCCUGGAUUCAGCGGCGGACGGGUGAGUAAUGCCUAGGAAUCUGCCUGGCAGUGGGGGAUAACGUCCGGAAACGGGCGCUAAUACCGCAUACGUCCUGAGGGUGAAAGUGGGGGAUCUUCGGACCUCACGCUAUCAGAUGAGCGUAGGUCGGAUUAGCUAGUUGGUGGGGUAAAGGCCUACCAAGGCGACGAUCCGUAACUGGUCGGAGUGGAUGAUCAGUCACACUGGAAGGGAGACAGGGUCCUGGGUCCUGCGGGAGGCAGCAGUGGGGAAUAUGGGACAAUAGGCGAAAGCAUGAUCCAGCCAUGCCGCGUGUGUGAAGAAGGUCUUGGGUUUGGAAAGCACUUUAUGUUGGGAGGAAGCGCAGUAAGUUAAGACCUUGCUGUAUUGACGUUACCAACAGAAUAAGCACCGGCUAACUUCGUG